AACGGCCGUACCAUGCUGAAUAUACCGGUUCUCGUUAGAUCACCGAAGUCAAGCAUCAUUGGGCGCGGUCAGUACUUGGGUGGGUGACCACCUGGGAACACCGCGUGCCGCUG
This is a non-coding RNA of Caerostris darwini, 113 nucleotides long. NCBI's taxonomy places the organism in Eukaryota, Metazoa, Arthropoda, Arachnida, Araneae, Araneidae. The record is from the annotation of a GenBank genome assembly.